GAUGAACGCUGGCGGCGUGCCUAAUACAUGCAAGUAGAACGCUCAGGGAGGAGCUUGCUCUUCUGGACGAGUUGCGAACGGGUGAGUAACGCGUAGGUAACCUGCCUGUUAGCGGGGGAGAACUAUUGGAAACGAUAGCUAAUACCGCAUGACAACAGUUAUUGCAUGAUAACUGUUUAAAAGGGGCAACUGCUCCACUACCAGAUGGACGUGCGUUGUAUUAGCUAGUUGGUGAGGUAACGGCUCACCAAGGCGACGAUACAUAGCCGACCUGAGAGGGGGAACGGCCCAACUGGGACUGGGACCCCGCCCCGACUCCUACGGGAGGCAGCAGUAGGGGAUCUUCGGGCAUGGGCGGAAGUCCGAACGGGCAACGCCGGGUGAGUGAAGAAGGUUUUUGGAUCGUAAAGAUCUGUUGUAAGAGAAGAAAGAGAGUGGGAGUGGAAAGUUCACACCGUGACGGUAUCUUACCAGAAAGGGACGGCUAACUACGUG
RNAcentral lists this ribosomal RNA (495 nucleotides) under uncultured bacterium. Its description in RNAcentral is "partial 16S ribosomal RNA". It matches the Rfam family "Bacterial small subunit ribosomal RNA", at positions 28 to 507 of the family's 1533-position model. The record is from RNAcentral.